RNAcentral lists this ribosomal RNA (255 nucleotides) under uncultured bacterium. Its description in RNAcentral is "partial 16S ribosomal RNA". It matches the Rfam family "Bacterial small subunit ribosomal RNA", at positions 524 to 776 of the family's 1533-position model. The record is from RNAcentral.
UACGUAGGCAGCGAGCGUUGUUCGGAAUUACUGGGCGUAAAGAGUGUGUAGGCGGUGCUCUAAGUUCGGUGUGAAAUCUCCUGGCUCAACUGGGAGGGUGCGCCGGAAACUGGAGUGCUUGAGCGUGGGAGAGGAAAGCGGAAUUCCUGGUGUAGCGGUGAAAUGCGUAGAUAUCAGGAGGAACACCUGUGGUGUAGACGGUUUCUGGACCAUAGCUGACGCUGAGACACGAAAAGCGUGGGGUAGCAAAACAGG